RNAcentral lists this ribosomal RNA (390 nucleotides) under Fusarium oxysporum. RNAcentral describes it as "bacterial SSU rRNA". It matches the Rfam family "Eukaryotic small subunit ribosomal RNA", at positions 21 to 374 of the family's 1831-position model. Lineage: Eukaryota; Fungi; Ascomycota; Sordariomycetes; Hypocreales; Nectriaceae. The record is from RNAcentral.
UGUAGUCAUAUGCUUGUCUCAAAGAUUAAGCCAUGCAUGUCUAAGUAUAAGCAAUUAUACAGCGAAACUGCGAAUGGCUCAUUAUAUAAGUUAUCGUUUAUUUGAUAGUACCUUACUACAUGGAUAACCGUGGUAAUUCUAGAGCUAAUACAUGCUAAAAAUCCCAACUUCGGAAGGGAUGUAUUUAUUAGAUUAAAAACCAAUGCCCUCCGGGGCUCACUGGUGAUUCAUAAUAACUUCUCGAAUCGCAUGGCCUUGCGCCGGCGAUGGUUCAUUCAAAUUUCUUCCCUAUCAACUUUCGAUGUUUGGGUAUUGGCCAAACAUGGUUGCAACGGGUAACGGGGAAUGGGGCGGGGGCGGCGGGCCGGGCGCGGGGCGCGGCGGGCGGCA